Molecule: small nuclear RNA, 141 nt
Filed under: Dasypus novemcinctus (nine-banded armadillo)
Lineage: Eukaryota; Metazoa; Chordata; Mammalia; Cingulata; Dasypodidae
Description: U4 spliceosomal RNA (ENSDNOG00000028350.1)
Rfam family: U4 spliceosomal RNA
About the family: U4 small nuclear RNA (U4 snRNA) is a component of the major U2-dependent spliceosome. The structure of U4 snRNA from yeast and human has been reported.
Source: RNAcentral
AGCUUUGCAAAGUGGCAGUAUUGUAGCCAAUGAGGUUUACCCAAGGUGCAAUUAUUUCUAGUUAAAAACUGUUCCUAAUACCCCUGCCAUGACGACUUGAAAUAUAGUCAGCAUUGGCAAUUUUUGACAGUCUUAUGGAGA